RNAcentral lists this small RNA (169 nucleotides) under Chrysemys picta bellii (western painted turtle). RNAcentral's name for it is "TUC338 (ENSCPBG00000025829.1)". The record is from RNAcentral. Lineage: Eukaryota; Metazoa; Chordata; Testudines; Emydidae.
CUGACCAAUCUGAAGCCUAAAUUCCUUUUUUACCAUCUAACAGGUAAAGCAUGAGCAGCAAGAUUCUUCACACUGCCCCAUCAAUGUGCUUCAUCCCUCACCUGGAGGGACCACUUCCAGGGGGGAGAGGAGAGGUCAGGCUUUGAGGUCCAUUUGGUCCUUGGCUUCU